This 160-nucleotide non-coding RNA is filed under the name Gabonibacter massiliensis. Lineage: Bacteria; Pseudomonadati; Bacteroidota; Bacteroidia; Bacteroidales; Porphyromonadaceae. The record is from RNAcentral.
UUCGGUUCACGUUUGUGAUUAAUAGGGAAUCCGGUGAAAAUCCGGGACUAUACCCGUAGCUGUAAGCUUUUUUUUGUUUUUCGAUCAAGAGAUCCACUGUCGGCUAACCGAUGGGAAGGAGGUCGAAAAUAGCGAGUCAGAAGACCUGCCGAUUGCGAUA